GACGAACGCUGGCGGCGUGCUUAACACAUGCAAGUCGAGCGAUGAAGCUCCUUCGGGAGCGGAUUAGCGGCGGACGGGUGAGUAACACGUGGGUAACCUGCCUCAUAGAGGGGAAUAGCCUUCCGAAAGGAAGAUUAAUACCGCAUAAGAUUGUAGCUUCGCAUGAAGUAGCAAUUAAAGGAGUAAUCCGCUAUGAGAUGGACCCGCGUCGCAUUAGCUAGUUGGUGAGGUAACGGCUCACCAAGGCGACGAUGCGUAGCCGACCUGAGAGGGUGAUCGGCCACAUUGGGACUGAGACACGGCCCAGACUCCUACGGGAGGCAGCAGUGGGGAAUAUUGCACAAUGGGGGAAACCCUGAUGCAGCAACGCCGCGUGAGUGAUGACGGUCUUCGGAUUGUAAAACUCUGUCUUCAGGGACGAUAAUGACGGUACCUGAGGAGGAAGCCACGGCUAACUACGUGCCAGCCGCCGCGGUAA
RNAcentral lists this ribosomal RNA (478 nucleotides) under uncultured bacterium. Its description in RNAcentral is "partial 16S ribosomal RNA". It matches the Rfam family "Bacterial small subunit ribosomal RNA", at positions 28 to 523 of the family's 1533-position model. The record is from RNAcentral.